GACGAACGCUGGCGGCAUGCCUAAUACAUGCAAGUCGAACGCGAACUUCUGCUCUAGCGGCGCACGGGUGCGGAACGCGUGGGAAUCGGCCCUUGGGUUCGCACUACAUUCAGGGAACAGAAACGAAUACCAGAGGAUGACGUAAGUCCAAAGAGUUAUCGCCGAAGGAUGGCGGCUCGUAGGAUUAGGUAGUUGGUGAGCUAAAGGCCCACUAGGUCGAUGAUCCGGCGCUGGUCUGCGAGGAUGAUCAACCAUAGUGGGACUGAGAGACGGCCCCGACUCCGACGGGAAGCAGCAGUAGGGAAUAUUGGACGAUGGGCGAAAGCCUGAUCCAGCAAUGUCGCGUGAAUGAUGAAGGCCUUAGGGUAGUAAGGUUCUUUUACCCGGGAUGAUAAUGACGGUACCGGGAGAAGAAGCGACGGCUAACUCCGUG
This 433-nucleotide ribosomal RNA is filed under the name uncultured bacterium. Its description in RNAcentral is "partial 16S ribosomal RNA". It matches the Rfam family "Bacterial small subunit ribosomal RNA", at positions 28 to 507 of the family's 1533-position model. The record is from RNAcentral.